RNAcentral lists this ribosomal RNA (253 nucleotides) under uncultured bacterium. RNAcentral's name for it is "partial 16S ribosomal RNA". It matches the Rfam family "Bacterial small subunit ribosomal RNA", at positions 524 to 776 of the family's 1533-position model. The record is from RNAcentral.
UACGUAGGGGGCUAGCGUUGUCCGGAAUUAUUGGGCGUAAAGAGCGUGUAGGCGGCCAGAUAGGUCUGCUGUGAAAACUCGAGGCUCAACCUCGAGCUGUCGGCGGAAACCAUCCGGCUAGAGUCCGGAAGAGGAGAGUGGAAUUCCCGGUGUAGCGGUGAAAUGCGCAGAUAUCGGGAAGAACACCUGUGGCGAAGGCGGCUCUCUGGGACGGUACUGACGCUGAGACGCGAAAGCGUGGGGAGCAAACAGG